This 462-nucleotide ribosomal RNA is filed under the name uncultured bacterium. RNAcentral describes it as "partial 16S ribosomal RNA". It matches the Rfam family "Bacterial small subunit ribosomal RNA", at positions 28 to 507 of the family's 1533-position model. The record is from RNAcentral.
GACGAACGCUGGCGGCGUGCUUAACACAUGCAAGUCGAGCGGUAAGGCCUUUCGGGGUACCCGAGCGGCGAACGGGUGAGUAACACGAGGGUGUUCUGCCCUGCCCUUCGGGAUAAGCCUGGGAAACUGGGUCUAAUACCGGAUAUGACCCCCUCUCCCAUGGAGGGUGGUGGACAGAUUUUGCGGUGCCGGAUGGGCCCGCGGCCUACCAGCUUGUUGGUGGGGUAGUGGCCGGCCAAGGAGACGGCGGAUAGCCGACCUGAGAGGGUGACCGUCCACACUGGGACUGAGACACGGCCCAGACUCCUACGGGAGGCAGCAGUGGGGAAUAUUGCACAAUGGGCGAAAGCCUGAUGCAGCGACGCCGCGUGUGGGAUGACGGCCUUCGGGUUGUAAACCUCUUUCAGCAGGGACGAAGCGGAAGUGACGGUACCUGCAGAAGAAGCACCGGCUAACUACGUG